RNAcentral lists this ribosomal RNA (2905 nucleotides) under Escherichia coli. RNAcentral describes it as "23S ribosomal RNA". It matches the Rfam family "Bacterial large subunit ribosomal RNA". The record is from RNAcentral. Lineage: Bacteria; Pseudomonadati; Pseudomonadota; Gammaproteobacteria; Enterobacterales; Enterobacteriaceae.
GGUUAAGCGACUAAGCGUACACGGUGGAUGCCCUGGCAGUCAGAGGCGAUGAAGGACGUGCUAAUCUGCGAUAAGCGUCGGUAAGGUGAUAUGAACCGUUAUAACCGGCGAUUUCCGAAUGGGGAAACCCAGUGUGAUUCGUCACACUAUCAUUAACUGAAUCCAUAGGUUAAUGAGGCGAACCGGGGGAACUGAAACAUCUAAGUACCCCGAGGAAAAGAAAUCAACCGAGAUUCCCCCAGUAGCGGCGAGCGAACGGGGAGGAGCCCAGAGCCUGAAUCAGUGUGUGUGUUAGUGGAAGCGUCUGGAAAGGCGCGCGAUACAGGGUGACAGCCCCGUACACAAAAAUGCACAUGCUGUGAGCUCGAUGAGUAGGGCGGGACACGUGGUAUCCUGUCUGAAUAUGGGGGGACCAUCCUCCAAGGCUAAAUACUCCUGACUGACCGAUAGUGAACCAGUACCGUGAGGGAAAGGCGAAAAGAACCCCGGCGAGGGGAGUGAAAAAGAACCUGAAACCGUGUACGUACAAGCAGUGGGAGCACAGAGCAAUCUGUGUGACUGCGUACCUUUUGUAUAAUGGGUCAGCGACUUAUAUUCUGUAGCAAGGUUAACCGAAUAGGGGAGCCGAAGGGAAACCGAGUCUUAACUGGGCGUUAAGUUGCAGGGUAUAGACCCGAAACCCGGUGAUCUAGCCAUGGGCAGGUUGAAGGUUGGGUAACACUAACUGGAGGACCGAACCGACUAAUGUUGAAAAAUUAGCGGAUGACUUGUGGCUGGGGGUGAAAGGCCAAUCAAACCGGGAGAUAGCUGGUUCUCCCCGAAAGCUAUUUAGGUAGCGCCUCGUGAAUUCAUCUCCGGGGGUAGAGCACUGUUUCGGCAAGGGGGUCAUCCCGACUUACCAACCCGAUGCAAACUGCGAAUACCGGAGAAUGUUAUCACGGGAGACACACGGCGGGUGCUAACGUCCGUCGUGAAGAGGGAAACAACCCAGACCGCCAGCUAAGGUCCCAAAGUCAUGGUUAAGUGGGAAACGAUGUGGGAAGGCCCAGACAGCCAGGAUGUUGGCUUAGAAGCAGCCAUCAUUUAAAGAAAGCGUAAUAGCUCACUGGUCGAGUCGGCCUGCGCGGAAGAUGUAACGGGGCUAAACCAUGCACCGAAGCUGCGGCAGCGACACUAUGUGUUGUUGGGUAGGGGAGCGUUCUGUAAGCCUGUGAAGGUGUGCUGUGAGGCAUGCUGGAGGUAUCAGAAGUGCGAAUGCUGACAUAAGUAACGAUAAAGCGGGUGAAAAGCCCGCUCGCCGGAAGACCAAGGGUUCCUGUCCAACGUUAAUCGGGGCAGGGUGAGUCGACCCCUAAGGCGAGGCCGAAAGGCGUAGUCGAUGGGAAACAGGUUAAUAUUCCUGUACUUGGUGUUACUGCGAAGGGGGGACGGAGAAGGCUAUGUUGGCCGGGCGACGGUUGUCCCGGUUUAAGCGUGUAGGCUGGUUUUCCAGGCAAAUCCGGAAAAUCAAGGCUGAGGCGUGAUGACGAGGCACUACGGUGCUGAAGCAACAAAUGCCCUGCUUCCAGGAAAAGCCUCUAAGCAUCAGGUAACAUCAAAUCGUACCCCAAACCGACACAGGUGGUCAGGUAGAGAAUACCAAGGCGCUUGAGAGAACUCGGGUGAAGGAACUAGGCAAAAUGGUGCCGUAACUUCGGGAGAAGGCACGCUGAUAUGUAGGUGAAGUCCCUCGCGGAUGGAGCUGAAAUCAGUCGAAGAUACCAGCUGGCUGCAACUGUUUAUUAAAAACACAGCACUGUGCAAACACGAAAGUGGACGUAUACGGUGUGACGCCUGCCCGGUGCCGGAAGGUUAAUUGAUGGGGUCAGCGCAAGCGAAGCUCUUGAUCGAAGCCCCGGUAAACGGCGGCCGUAACUAUAACGGUCCUAAGGUAGCGAAAUUCCUUGUCGGGUAAGUUCCGACCUGCACGAAUGGCGUAAUGAUGGCCAGGCUGUCUCCACCCGAGACUCAGUGAAAUUGAACUCGCUGUGAAGAUGCAGUGUACCCGCGGCAAGACGGAAAGACCCCGUGAACCUUUACUAUAGCUUGACACUGAACAUUGAGCCUUGAUGUGUAGGAUAGGUGGGAGGCUUUGAAGUGUGGACGCCAGUCUGCAUGGAGCCGACCUUGAAAUACCACCCUUUAAUGUUUGAUGUUCUAACGUUGACCCGUGAUCCGGGUUGCGGACAGUGUCUGGUGGGUAGUUUGACUGGGGCGGUCUCCUCCUAAAGAGUAACGGAGGAGCACGAAGGUUGGCUAAUCCUGGUCGGACAUCAGGAGGUUAGUGCAAUGGCAUAAGCCAGCUUGACUGCGAGCGUGACGGCGCGAGCAGGUGCGAAAGCAGGUCAUAGUGAUCCGGUGGUUCUGAAUGGAAGGGCCAUCGCUCAACGGAUAAAAGGUACUCCGGGGAUAACAGGCUGAUACCGCCCAAGAGUUCAUAUCGACGGCGGUGUUUGGCACCUCGAUGUCGGCUCAUCACAUCCUGGGGCUGAAGUAGGUCCCAAGGGUAUGGCUGUUCGCCAUUUAAAGUGGUACGCGAGCUGGGUUUAGAACGUCGUGAGACAGUUCGGUCCCUAUCUGCCGUGGGCGCUGGAGAACUGAGGGGGGCUGCUCCUAGUACGAGAGGACCGGAGUGGACGCAUCACUGGUGUUCGGGUUGUCAUGCCAAUGGCACUGCCCGGUAGCUAAAUGCGGAAGAGAUAAGUGCUGAAAGCAUCUAAGCACGAAACUUGCCCCGAGAUGAGUUCUCCCUGACUCCUUGAGAGUCCUGAAGGAACGUUGAAGACGACGACGUUGAUAGGCCGGGUGUGUAAGCGCAGCGAUGCGUUGAGCUAACCGGUACUAAUGAACCGUGAGGCUUAACCUU